AAACUUACCUGGCACAGGAGAUACCGCGAUCAUGAAGGCGGUUCUCCCAGCACGAGAUUCAGCCAUUGCACUGAGGUUGAAUUGACUUCUGCGAUUACCCCACAUGUGGGUAACUCGGGUGCAUAAUUUCUGAUAGUGGGGAACUGCGUUCGCGCUUUUCCCUA
This 164-nucleotide small nuclear RNA is filed under the name Helobdella robusta. Its description in RNAcentral is "U1 spliceosomal RNA". It matches the Rfam family "U1 spliceosomal RNA". Rfam says of the family: U1 is a small nuclear RNA (snRNA) component of the spliceosome (involved in pre-mRNA splicing). Lineage: Eukaryota; Metazoa; Annelida; Clitellata; Rhynchobdellida; Glossiphoniidae. The record is from Rfam by way of RNAcentral.